RNAcentral lists this ribosomal RNA (468 nucleotides) under uncultured bacterium. Its description in RNAcentral is "partial 16S ribosomal RNA". It matches the Rfam family "Bacterial small subunit ribosomal RNA", at positions 28 to 507 of the family's 1533-position model. The record is from RNAcentral.
GACGAACGCUGGCGGCGUGCUUAACACAUGCAAGUCGAACGGAAAGGCCCUGCUUUUGUGGGGUGCUCGAGUGGCGAACGGGUGAGUAAUACGUGAGUAACCUGCCCUUGACUUUGGGAUAACUUCAGGAAACUGGGGCUAAUACCGGAUAGGAGCUCCUGCUGCAUGGUGGGGGUUGGAAAGUUUCGGCGGUUGGGGAUGGACUCGCGGCUUAUCAGCUUGUUGGUGGGGUAGUGGCUUACCAAGGCUUUGACGGGUAGCCGGCCUGAGAGGGUGACCGGCCACAUUGGGACUGAGAUACGGCCCAGACUCCUACGGGAGGCAGCAGUGGGGAAUAUUGCACAAUGGGCGGAAGCCUGAUGCAGCAACGCCGCGUGCGGGAUGACGGCCUUCGGGUUGUAAACCGCUUUCGCCUGUGACGAAGCGUGAGCGACGGUAAUGGGUAAAGAAGCACCGGCUAACUACGUG